RNAcentral lists this long non-coding RNA (296 nucleotides) under Zostera marina. RNAcentral describes it as "long non-coding RNA (ZMAR_LNC003679)". Lineage: Eukaryota; Viridiplantae; Streptophyta; Magnoliopsida; Alismatales; Zosteraceae. The record is from RNAcentral.
CUCUAUUUUUCCAUUUCUGGAGAUACGAAUUUAGUUGAUCGAUUAGCGGAACACAGUCUGCACCUUUGACGUCCCUUCCAAUUAGAGGCACCCCUAGAUACUUAAGCGGUAAAAAGCUUUCCUGGAACCCCAUCAACUGCAAUAGGUCAUCCUUGAUCUGCUCACAUGAGAUGGAGAAUAUCAUCGAACUCUUGGAACAAUUAAUUUCCAGUCCUGAAUUUUUUGUAAAAACAUCCAGCACUGCUUUAACUGCCCUCAGAGAUUUAGUAGUUGCCUUUGCAAAACAUAGCACAUCG